RNAcentral lists this long non-coding RNA (275 nucleotides) under Ricinus communis (castor bean). Its description in RNAcentral is "long non-coding RNA (RCOM_LNC002847)". The record is from RNAcentral. Lineage: Eukaryota; Viridiplantae; Streptophyta; Magnoliopsida; Malpighiales; Euphorbiaceae.
AAAGUAAUAAACAAAAAGAAAAGGAAGUGGAUAAGGACGAAGGAAAAGGGAAAAGAAAAAAAUAAUGAUGAUGCAUGAGGCAGAGGGAAAGGAAGGAAAAGAGGAAAGGAAAGGAGAGGAAGGAUCCUUAUAUUUAGUAGACUCAAACUCGAGAGUCAUGCUGUGGCAAGUCGCCAUCACCAAAUAAAAAAGAACCACCUCAUCAUCCUCAUGCCCCCAUUGCCCAUUUUGUAAGGGACAGCUAUUCACCACUGCACGUGACUCCCUCCCCUCCU